Molecule: ribosomal RNA, 3092 nt
Filed under: Salmonella enterica subsp. enterica serovar Typhimurium
Lineage: Bacteria; Pseudomonadati; Pseudomonadota; Gammaproteobacteria; Enterobacterales; Enterobacteriaceae
Description: 23S ribosomal RNA
Rfam family: Bacterial large subunit ribosomal RNA
Source: RNAcentral
GGUUAAGCGACUAAGCGUACACGGUGGAUGCCCUGGCAGUCAGAGGCGAUGAAGGGCGUGCUAAUCUGCGAUAAGCGCCGGUAAGGUGAUAUGAACCGUUAUAACCGGCGAUACCCGAAUGGGGAAACCCAGUGUGAUUCGUCACACUAUCAUUAACUGAAUCCAUAGGUUAAUGAGGCGAACCGGGGGAACUGAAACAUCUAAGUACCCCGAGGAAAAGAAAUCAACCGAGAUUCCCCCAGUAGCGGCGAGCGAACGGGGAGGAGCCCAGAGCCUGAAUCAGCAUGUGUGUUAGUGGAAGCGUCUGGAAAGGCGCGCGAUACAGGGUGACAGCCCCGUACACAAAAGCGCAUGUGCUGUGAGCUCGAUGAGUAGGGCGGGACACGUGGUAUCCUGUCUGAAUAUGGGGGGACCAUCCUCCAAGGCUAAAUACUCCUGACUGACCGAUAGUGAACCAGUACCGUGAGGGAAAGGCGAAAAGAACCCCGGCGAGGGGAGUGAAAAAGAACCUGAAACCGUGUACGUACAAGCAGUGGGAGCCCCACCACCAAAGCAUUCUCUGGUGUUGAAGGCCCUGCAAAGCAGCAUCGCGGUGGCGGAGCGUCGUUUGCGACGCCCAACACACAAAACAAGCGGUGAAUGCUUUGGGGUGGGGUGACUGCGUACCUUUUGUAUAAUGGGUCAGCGACUUAUAUUCUGUAGCAAGGUUAACCGAAUAGGGGAGCCGGAGGGAAACCGAGUCUUAAUUGGGCGUUAAGUUGCAGGGUAUAGACCCGAAACCCGGUGAUCUAGCCAUGGGCAGGUUGAAGGUUGGGUAACACUAACUGGAGGACCGAACCGACUAAUGUUGAAAAAUUAGCGGAUGACCUGUGGCUGGGGGUGAAAGGCCAAUCAAACCGGGAGAUAGCUGGUUCUCCCCGAAAGCUAUUUAGGUAGCGCCUCGUGAAUUCAUCUCCGGGGGUAGAGCACUGUUUCGGCUAGGGGGCCAUCCCGGCUUACCAACCCGAUGCAAACUGCGAAUACCGGAGAAUGUUAUCACGGGAGACACACGGCGGGUGCUAACGUCCGUCGUGAAGAGGGAAACAACCCAGACCGCCAGCUAAGGUCCCAAAGUCAUGGUUAAGUGGGAAACGAUGUGGGAAGGCCCAGACAGCCAGGAUGUUGGCUUAGAAGCAGCCAUCAUUUAAAGAAAGCGUAAUAGCUCACUGGUCGAGUCGGCCUGCGCGGAAGAUGUAACGGGGCUAAACCAUGCACCGAAGCUGCGGCAGCGAACGUAUCACCCAAGACAACUUUACGGAGUUGACGAUUGACGGAGCGAAGCGACGUCAAAGCGUUCAUUAAAGUCGAGUUGGCUUAGGGAUACGUUCGUUGGGUAGGGGAGCGUUCUGUAAGCCUGUGAAGGUGUGUCGUGAGGCAUGCUGGAGGUAUCAGAAGUGCGAAUGCUGACAUAAGUAACGAUAAAGCGGGUGAAAAGCCCGCUCGCCGGAAGACCAAGGGUUCCUGUCCAACGUUAAUCGGGGCAGGGUGAGUCGACCCCUAAGGCGAGGCCGAAAGGCGUAGUCGAUGGGAAACGGGUUAAUAUUCCCGUACUUGGUGUUACUGCGAAGGGGGGACGGAGAAGGCUAUGUUGGCCGGGCGACGGUUGUCCCGGUUUAAGCGUGUAGGUGUGUGUUCCAGGUAAAUCCGGUUCACUUUAACACUGAGGCGUGACGACGAGGCACUACGGUGCUGAAGCAACAAAUGCCCUGCUUCCAGGAAAAGCCUCUAAGCAUCAGGUAACAUCAAAUCGUACCCCAAACCGACACAGGUGGUCAGGUAGAGAAUACCAAGGCGCUUGAGAGAACUCGGGUGAAGGAACUAGGCAAAAUGGUGCCGUAACUUCGGGAGAAGGCACGCUGACACGUAGGUGAAGUGAUUUACUCACGGAGCUGAAGUCAGUCGAAGAUACCAGCUGGCUGCAACUGUUUAUUAAAAACACAGCACUGUGCAAACACGAAAGUGGACGUAUACGGUGUGACGCCUGCCCGGUGCCGGAAGGUUAAUUGAUGGGGUCAGCGCAAGCGAAGCUCCUGAUCGAAGCCCCGGUAAACGGCGGCCGUAACUAUAACGGUCCUAAGGUAGCGAAAUUCCUUGUCGGGUAAGUUCCGACCUGCACGAAUGGCGUAAUGAUGGCCAGGCUGUCUCCACCCGAGACUCAGUGAAAUUGAACUCGCUGUGAAGAUGCAGUGUACCCGCGGCAAGACGGAAAGACCCCGUGAACCUUUACUAUAGCUUGACACUGAACAUUGAGCCUUGAUGUGUAGGAUAGGUGGGAGGCUUUGAAGUGUGGACGCCAGUCUGCAUGGAGCCGACCUUGAAAUACCACCCUUUAAUGUUUGAUGUUCUAACGUGGACCCGUAAUCCGGGUUGCGGACAGUGUCUGGUGGGUAGUUUGACUGGGGCGGUCUCCUCCUAAAGAGUAACGGAGGAGCACGAAGGUUGGCUAAUCCUGGUCGGACAUCAGGAGGUUAGUGCAAUGGCAUAAGCCAGCUUGACUGCGAGCGUGACGGCGCGAGCAGGUGCGAAAGCAGGUCAUAGUGAUCCGGUGGUUCUGAAUGGAAGGGCCAUCGCUCAACGGAUAAAAGGUACUCCGGGGAUAACAGGCUGAUACCGCCCAAGAGUUCAUAUCGACGGCGGUGUUUGGCACCUCGAUGUCGGCUCAUCACAUCCUGGGGCUGAAGUAGGUCCCAAGGGUAUGGCUGUUCGCCAUUUAAAGUGGUACGCGAGCUGGGUUUAGAACGUCGUGAGACAGUUCGGUCCCUAUCUGCCGUGGGCGCUGGAGAACUGAGGGGGGCUGCUCCUAGUACGAGAGGACCGGAGUGGACGCAUCACUGGUGUUCGGGUUGUCAUGCCAAUGGCACUGCCCGGUAGCUAAAUGCGGAAGAGAUAAGUGCUGAAAGCAUCUAAGCACGAAACUUGCCCCGAGAUGAGUUCUCCCUGAGACUUAGAGUCUCCUGAAGGAACGUUGAAGACGACGACGUUGAUAGGCCGGGUGUGUAAGCGCAGCGAUGCGUUGAGCUAACCGGUACUAAUGAACCGUGAGGCUUAACCUU